GCCAGAGUGGUGAAAUGGUUUCAACAUUAGAUUAUUACUCUGAAGACCAGGGUUUGAAUCUCUGCUCAGCCA
Molecule: transfer RNA, 72 nt
Filed under: Anolis carolinensis (green anole)
Lineage: Eukaryota; Metazoa; Chordata; Lepidosauria; Squamata; Anolidae
Rfam family: tRNA
About the family: Transfer RNA (tRNA) molecules are approximately 80 nucleotides in length. Their secondary structure includes four short double-helical elements and three loops (D, anti-codon, and T loops).
Source: Rfam by way of RNAcentral